UGAGAUUUUGCCCUGGCUCAGAGUGAACGCUGGCGGUAGGCCUAACACAUGCAAGUCUAACGGCAGCACAAAGGAGCUUGUUCCUUGGGUGGCGAGUGGCGGACGGGUGAGGAAUACAUCGGAAUCUACUCUGUCGUGGGGGAUAACGUAGGGAAACUUACGCUAAUACCGCAUACGACCUACGGGUGAAAGCAGGGGACCUUCGGGCCUUGCGCGAUUGAAUGAGCCGAUGUCGGAUUAGCUAGUUGGCGGGGUAAAGGCCCACCAAGGCGACGAUCCGUAGCUGGUCUGAGAGGAUGAUCAGCCACACUGGAACUGAGACACGGUCCAGACUCCUACGGGAGGCAGCAGUGGGGAAUAUUGGACAAUGGGCGCAAGCCUGAUCCAGCCAUACCGCGUGGGUGAAGAAGGCCUUCGGGUUGUAAAGCCCUUUUGUUGGGAAAGAAAUCCAGCUGGUUAAUACCC
Molecule: ribosomal RNA, 465 nt
Filed under: uncultured Stenotrophomonas sp.
Lineage: Bacteria; Pseudomonadati; Pseudomonadota; Gammaproteobacteria; Lysobacterales; Lysobacteraceae
Description: bacterial SSU rRNA
Rfam family: Bacterial small subunit ribosomal RNA
Source: RNAcentral